GCGGUGGUGGCGCAGCUGGGAGUCGCGUAAGUCUUAAUUAUACGACUAAUACAUAUCUGUCUAAUGCCUUCCUAGGUUAGACUGAAGUAAACUUUAGUCAUUCAAUCUAAAGGUCAUGUGUUCAAUCCACAUUCACCGCA
Viridothelium virens is the source of this 140-nucleotide non-coding RNA. Lineage: Eukaryota; Fungi; Ascomycota; Dothideomycetes; Trypetheliales; Trypetheliaceae. The record is from the annotation of a GenBank genome assembly.